GGCUGGAUAGUCUAGUGGUAGGAUGCAUGCUAUGGUGCAGCAUGAGACCCGUGUUCGACUCACGGUCCGGCGA
Non-coding RNA from Clonostachys rhizophaga, 73 nucleotides. NCBI's taxonomy places the organism in Eukaryota, Fungi, Ascomycota, Sordariomycetes, Hypocreales, Bionectriaceae. The record is from the annotation of a GenBank genome assembly.